This 515-nucleotide ribosomal RNA is filed under the name Meyerozyma guilliermondii. RNAcentral describes it as "eukaryotic LSU rRNA". It matches the Rfam family "Eukaryotic large subunit ribosomal RNA", at positions 140 to 671 of the family's 3401-position model. The record is from RNAcentral. Lineage: Eukaryota; Fungi; Ascomycota; Pichiomycetes; Serinales; Debaryomycetaceae.
GAGUUGUAAUUUGAAGAUUGUAACCUUGGGGUUGGCUCUUGUCUAUGUUUCUUGGAACAGGACGUCACAGAGGGUGAGAAUCCCGUGCGAUGAGAUGCCCAAUCCUAUGUAAGGUGCUUUCGAAGAGUCGAGUUGUUUGGGAAUGCAGCUCUAAGUGGGUGGUAAAUUCCAUCUAAAGCUAAAUAUUGGCGAGAGACCGAUAGCGAACAAGUACAGUGAUGGAAAGAUGAAAAGAACUUUGAAAAGAGAGUGAAAAAGUACGUGAAAUUGUUGAAAGGGAAGGGUUUGAGAUCAGACUCGAUAUUUUGUGAGCCUUGCCUUCGUGGCGGGGUGACCCGCAGCUUAUCGGGCCAGCAUCGGUUUGGGCGGUAGGAUAAUGGCGUAGGAAUGUGACUUUGCUUCGGUGAAGUGUUAUAGCCUGCGUUGAUGCUGCCUGCCUAGACCGAGGACUGCGAUUUUAUCAAGGAUGCUGGCAUAAUGAUCCCAAACCGCCCGUCUUGAACCCCGGACCAAAA